UUGACCUCAAAUCGAGUAGGACUACCCGCUGAACUUAAGCAUAUCAAUAAGCGGAGGAAAAGAAACUAACAAGGAUUCCCCUAGUAACGGCGAGUGAAGAGGGAAGAGCUCAAAUUUUGAAUCUGACACCUUUGGUGUCAGAGUUGUA
This 148-nucleotide ribosomal RNA is filed under the name uncultured fungus. RNAcentral describes it as "partial 28S ribosomal RNA". It matches the Rfam family "Eukaryotic large subunit ribosomal RNA", at positions 1 to 147 of the family's 3401-position model. The record is from RNAcentral. Lineage: Eukaryota; Fungi.